Molecule: ribosomal RNA, 327 nt
Filed under: uncultured eukaryote
Lineage: Eukaryota
Description: partial 18S ribosomal RNA
Rfam family: Eukaryotic small subunit ribosomal RNA
Source: RNAcentral
CCCUUAGAUGUUCUCGGCCGCACACGCGCUACACUGAAAGAGGCAACGUGUUUGCCUGAUUCGAAAGAAUUGGGUAACCCCCUAAUCUCUUUCGUGCUGGGGAUUGAGGUUUGCAAUUAUCCUUCAUGAACGAGGAAUUCCCAGUAAGUGCGAGUCAUUAUCUCGCGCUGACUACAUCCCUGCCCUUUGUACACACCGCCCGUCGCUACUACCGAUUGAAUGAUUUAGUGAGGACUUCGGACUGAGUCCAAUGCGGCUUUCGGGCUGCGUUGGUAUUUCGGAAAGAUGUCCAAACUGUAUCAUUUAGAGGAAGUAAAAGUCGUAACA